CCUACGGGAGGCAGCAGUGGGGAAUAUUGGGCAAUGGGCGCAAGCCUGAACCAGCCAAGUCGCGUGAGGGAAGACGGUCCUAUGGAUUGUAAACCUCUUUUGUCGGGGAACAAAAGACGCCACGCGUGGCGUUCCGAGAGUACCCGAAGAAAAAGCAUCGGCUAACUCCGUGCCAGCAGCCGCGGUAAUACGGAGGAUGCGAGCGUUAUCCGGAUUUAUUGGGUUUAAAGGGUGCGCAGGCGGAAGAUCAAGUCAGCGGUAAAAUUGAGAGGCUCAACCUCUUCGAGCCGUUGAAACUGGUUUUCUUGAGUGAGUGAGAAGUAUGCGGAAUGCGUGGGGUAGCGGUGAAAUGCAUAGAUAUCACGCAGAACUCCGAUUGCGAAGGCAGCAUAGAGGCGCUCAACUGACGCUCAUGCACGAAAGUGUGGGUAUCGAACAGGAUGAGAUACCCCUGUAGUC
RNAcentral lists this ribosomal RNA (459 nucleotides) under uncultured bacterium. Its description in RNAcentral is "partial 16S ribosomal RNA". It matches the Rfam family "Bacterial small subunit ribosomal RNA", at positions 338 to 795 of the family's 1533-position model. The record is from RNAcentral.